Jaculus jaculus (lesser Egyptian jerboa) is the source of this 918-nucleotide long non-coding RNA. RefSeq lists it as uncharacterized. NCBI's taxonomy places the organism in Eukaryota, Metazoa, Chordata, Mammalia, Rodentia, Dipodidae. The transcript is spliced from 4 exons. The record is from RefSeq and is a predicted model, not a curated record.
AUGCGGCUUCUGCUCUGAUUCAGUGGAACCAGUGUGCCUGUCCCGGUCUCCAGUGGGGGACAGGAUUCGUAGGAGCACACAGCUCUGAUCAACAACUGACUUUCAAGAGCAAACACUGUAAGGAGUGUGAGGCGUCCAGUAGGCUGUGGACCACAGACCAGGAAGUGUUUUGCCAUACCAUAGGACAGGCGGCCAUACUGGAGUAACCUCAGAAGUGACCUCUGUUGAUUGCCAGAUACUCAACAUACCCUUAUGAAGUAGGCACUUCAGUUAUCCCAUUUUAUAGGUGAUGUGAAGAUGUGACACAGGCAUCCUGCUCAGGCCUGCCAUAAUGAACACUUCCUCUGAAAACCAUAAGCUGGUGACUUCUGGUACAAGACACUUCAUUCCAUUGUGGAAAGGCCGGGUGACAGAAAUGGUCUGGCUGACCUGGUCCACUGCUGACACUCUUCCUUGAUAGACACCCAAGCUUUCUCCACAGUUGAUGGACACGAUACUGCCUAGCCAAUCCAUAGCCAUGUUUCAGAGGUGAGACCACUCUGACGAGAAGGAACCAUUCAAUGUACCUGACUGCUGAAAAGGAGACGACGGCAAGGAGCAGAGAAGAGACUGAGCGAGCCAGUGGCCACGCUGGCCUGGGGGUAUGGGGGACCGAGUCAGCCACUUUCGCCUCUCAUCUCUCCGGGUCCCCAAAUUCCUGGGGAGACAGAAGGGGCCAUCCCCAUCCAUCUGCUCCUCUCCUCACCCUAAGGACCCCCCCCACUCCGCUUCACACCUGUCCACACUGACAAUGUAUUAAUUUCUAACAAGUAAUACAUAGUGAGUGAUACAAACAAGCAUUCAAAACAUGUAAGAAGUGGGGCUAGAGGGCUGGAAAGAUGGCUUAAUGGUUAAGGUAGUUGUCAGUGAAGCUUAGGA